UUGGUAUGAUGCCUUAGUGUAAUGUGAAUUUUUUUUAUUAUAAAUAGAUGUGUUGUGUGAUUUAUUUUUCCACAUCUCAUUUCAUCAUAUUGCAAACAUGUUUGGUGUUCGUCGUCGCUAUGGAAAAGUGAUUUAUUCGAGAGACAAGCCAUCGAUGUUGAUGCUCUUUUGGAACAUCUGUAGUUUGGAUCAACUGAAGAGGGAGCUGGUU
This 211-nucleotide long non-coding RNA is filed under the name Lathyrus oleraceus (garden pea). RNAcentral describes it as "Pisum sativum (pea) long non-coding RNA (PSAT_LNC014677)". The record is from RNAcentral. Lineage: Eukaryota; Viridiplantae; Streptophyta; Magnoliopsida; Fabales; Fabaceae.